Molecule: ribosomal RNA, 508 nt
Filed under: eukaryotic picoplankton environmental sample
Lineage: Eukaryota
Description: SSU rRNA
Rfam family: Eukaryotic small subunit ribosomal RNA
Source: RNAcentral
CUCGUAGUUGGAUUUCGGUUGAGAACGGCCGGUCCGCCGUUUGGUGUGCACUGGCUGGUUUCAACUUCCUGUAGAGGACGCGCUCUGGCUUCACGGCUGGACGCGGAGUCUACGUGGUUACUUUGAAAAAAUUAGAGUGUUCAAAGCGGGCUUACGCUUGAAUAUUUCAGCAUGGAAUAACACUAUAGGACUCCUGUCCUAUUUCGUUGGUCUCGGGACGGGAGUAAUGAUUAAGAGGAACAGUUGGGGGCAUUCGUAUUUCAUUGUCAGAGGUGAAAUUCUUGGAUUUAUGAAAGACGAACUUCUGCGAAAGCAUUUGCCAAGGAUGUUUUCAUUAAUCAAGAACGAAAGUUGGGGGCUCGAAGAUGAUUAGAUACCAUCCUAGUCUCAACCAUAAACGAUGCCGACUAGGGAUUGCAGGAUGUUAAUUGAUGACUCCUGCAGCACCUUAUGAGAAAUCAAAGUUUUUGGGUUCCGGGGGGAGUAUGGUCGCAAGGCUGAAACUCAA